UGGGGAAUAUUGCACAAUGGGGGAAACCCUGAUGCAGCGACGCCGCGUGAGCGAAGAAGGUUUUCGAAUCGUAAAGCUCUGUCCUAUGGGAAGAUAAUGACGGUACCAUAGGAGGAAGCCCCGGCUAACUACGUGCCAGCAGCCGCGGUAAUACGUAGGGGGCAAGCGUUGUCCGGAAUCACUGGGCGUAAAGGGUUCGCAGGCGGAAAUGCAAGUCAGGUGUAAAAGGCAGUAGCUUAACUACUGUAAGCAUUUGAAACUGCAUAUCUUGAGAAGAGUAGAGGUAAGUGGAAUUUUUAGUGUAGCGAUGAAAUGCGUAGAUAUUAAAAAGAAUACCGGUGGCGAAGGCGACUUACUGGGCUCAUUCUGACGCUGAGGAACGAAAGCGUGGGUAGCAAACAGG
RNAcentral lists this ribosomal RNA (403 nucleotides) under Verrucomicrobiota bacterium. Its description in RNAcentral is "Verrucomicrobia bacterium partial 16S ribosomal RNA". It matches the Rfam family "Bacterial small subunit ribosomal RNA", at positions 355 to 776 of the family's 1533-position model. Lineage: Bacteria; Pseudomonadati; Verrucomicrobiota. The record is from RNAcentral.